RNAcentral lists this unclassified non-coding RNA (512 nucleotides) under Bifidobacterium pseudolongum subsp. pseudolongum. RNAcentral's name for it is "partial 16S-23S ribosomal RNA". The record is from RNAcentral. Lineage: Bacteria; Bacillati; Actinomycetota; Actinomycetes; Bifidobacteriales; Bifidobacteriaceae.
CCUUUCUACGGAGUUUUGUGGGCGCACGGGGUGCGCCGAUGAUGGGAUGCUUUACAGCCUGGCUUCCUGGCCGGGUGGUGUCCCUUGCUGGCUGGAAAAGGGUCAGGGCCGUUCCCGCCUGUGUGGUGGGGUGGUUGUGGUGUGGUGCAUGCUGUUGGGUUCCCGGACCGCCAGGCCCCUUGUCGGGGGUGGUGUUCCGUUCCCGCCGUCCUGGUCCCGUCCCUUGUGGGGUGGGUGCCUGGGGUGGUGUGGUGUGGUGGUUUGAGAACUGGAGAGUGGACGCGAGCAUGAACGGUGCGCCCUUGCGGGUGUGCCGGGUGUGUUCGUACUGUUGAUUUUGUCGAACCGUUCCGUGCCCGCUUUCGGGUGGGUGCGUGGAUUGUGUUCGCGAGUGUUUUGGUAGAGCCGCCCGCACUGUUGGUGUGGGUGGUGUUUAGAUGAUCUGAUUAGUUGUCGUAGGGUGUUCCAGUGCAAGUGGCAUGGGCCCGUGGCCCCUUUUGCGGGGUUGGUGG